ACAAACCUGACCAUCCUGAAGCUCAGCUCGUCAGGCAGGCCGGCGACAUCUCUGAGGUACCCGUUGCUACCCACCGCUCACCCACACCUUCAGCACAGAGUUCCUGAGGACGUACUGCGUGCUGGCUCUGCCGGUACCUCAGGGACCGAACAGUGAACCAGGCAGGCAAAAUCUGGCUUCUGAGCUUAACUUUGGCAGAACAUGAUGACAGGAAGCAAAUCCG
This 223-nucleotide long non-coding RNA is filed under the name Fukomys damarensis (Damara mole-rat). Its description in RNAcentral is "lncRNA (ENSFDAG00000031753.1)". Lineage: Eukaryota; Metazoa; Chordata; Mammalia; Rodentia; Bathyergidae. The record is from RNAcentral.